AUGAAAUCUGGUCAAAGGAUGCUUGGAUCACAGAUAAGACAAGAACCGUCGCCAGAGAAGAGCAGCUGCGUCUGGGCGGGAGGUACAUCUCCCAGCAAGGCCCAGCACAACCCUUCCCCUGAGGCUCGAGCUUCUGGCUGCAGGCCGGAGUCCAGGCUCACAUCAGCCACGAGAGCACCAGCAGGUGUUGAUGCCCGGUGCUUGCGAGCCAGCUGGAGACCGGGGUUCCUAGGAGGGGAGGACCCCAAGGCCUGUACACACCUGCCACCUGAUGGUCUGCUGCCCGAGUGGCCCCGGCCCCGGGGGGGUCCUCCAGAGGUAUGCCCCCCACCACUACCCACUCCACGCAAGGUGGAGGGUAUCUGGGGCUCGGUGCUCAUUGGCGGGCCUGGGGAGCCCCCAUCCUGGCACAGACAUGCUGCUGGCCUGCGAACCCCUGACCUCCCCUCACCGUCCAGGACAGAGGGCAGCCUCCUCAUCCCACCGCAGUCUUACAGGGCCCAAGAGGCUAUGCUCACGAAGCCAGCGACAAAUCCCCGGGUCAGGACUAAGUGGCACUCACCCUGCCGAACACACCUGUCCCCAGGAAGCCCACGCCUGCAGGAACAGGAGGGUCACUCAGUGUCUCUGCACUUAAUGUCUUAAGACAGACUUGCUGCGUAAUGUUCAGCUCCAAAGCAAAUAACCAGCCAUAACCCUGAUGGGGAACCACCUCCCAAGACCAUCCCUGUGCUGGACAGACAGGUGGUCAGCUUCCACUCCGAGCACAGCUGGGAAGGCAGGGCGCUGUGCACAAAUGCCGGGAACGGACGGACAGAAAGUCUCCCUGGGAGGCAGAGCCGUCCCAGUUCCCGGGAGUGCGGGGCCGUGGACUCCAUCUACUCAGCAUUGCUGGGUCCGUCCAUCCGUCCAUCUCUAGAGAGGGCAGGGAGAGAAGAGUGUGGUGCUGUCGCCUGUCCCUGCCCCACACCCAGGCCCCCAGGAAGAAGCAGAGGAGUGAGGGCCUGAUGCUCACCCUCGGCCCUGGAGGAGCAGGCUGGUGAGCGCUUCAACCACGAGACCAUUUCCACCAUCAAAAAGAGCUUGAAGUCUCAGGACAUCAGGCCGCUGAGGGUUCAAGGCUCACUGGACACCCAGGCUUCAAAAAAUUCAAUGGAAUGCUAGUCGUGGAGUGAAAGAAAAAUCUAGAAACAUAACCUGCCCUCAGCUGUCAUAGAAACUUGAUGCGCUAACCGGUAACCUUGGGAGUUAGGUGCCUGGGACCUCGCUUCCAGACACCCUGGGGUGCCCAGGGCUCCAGUUCUGGGCGGGGUGUCUGCAUCAAGCGGGUAGUGGAUGGAACCCAACCAUCUGAGUGGAGCCUGGGUCCCUGCCCACCUC
RNAcentral lists this long non-coding RNA (1380 nucleotides) under Canis lupus familiaris (dog). RNAcentral describes it as "lncRNA (ENSCAFG00000055450.1, ENSCAFG00845014390.1)". The record is from RNAcentral. Lineage: Eukaryota; Metazoa; Chordata; Mammalia; Carnivora; Canidae.